CAGUAGCCGCGGUAAUACGUAGGUGGCAAGCGUUGUCCGGAAUUAUUGGGCGUAAAGGGCUCGCAGGCGGUUUCUUAAGUCUGAUGUGAAAGCCCCCGGCUCAACCGGGGAGGGUCAUUGGAAACUGGGAAACUUGAGUGCAGAAGAGGAGAGUGGAAUUCCACGUGUAGCGGUGAAAUGCGUAGAGAUGUGGAGGAACACCAGUGGCGGAGGCGACUCUCUGGUCUGUAACUGACGCUGAGGAGCGAAAGCGUGGGGAGCGAACAGGAUUAGAUACCCCCGUAGUCCCUGUCUCUUAUAC
This 301-nucleotide ribosomal RNA is filed under the name uncultured bacterium. Its description in RNAcentral is "partial 16S ribosomal RNA". It matches the Rfam family "Bacterial small subunit ribosomal RNA", at positions 509 to 807 of the family's 1533-position model. The record is from RNAcentral.